AUACAAUGGUAUAACAAAAAUCAACUUUUUUUCCCCUUGAAAUAAGGUUUAAUGUGGAGUGGACAUGUAAUAACAGAAAUGAUGAAUGAUGUCAUAUCAGAGCGAAAAUAGAUGAGAGCAACAAAAUAAUCGAAAAAUCACAGAAAGAUUACCAAAAAGCCAUCGCGAUGGAUAUUUAUGAACACGCAGCAACAGUCCUUUGUCAGUUAUUAGACGCUCGUUACAAAGAUGACUGGCUGAAGAAAACUGAAGUGCUUGGGAGGUUACUGAUUGAUUUUCAUUGUAGGAUCACAGAACUGAAACUGAAGAAGAGUGUUUCAAACAGCGAGACAACUCUGACACCCUCCACCUUGAUGUCGAAAAAAAGAAGCUUAGAGGAUAUUUCAUAGAUUAUUAUUUGAACAAUGACUUGUAUCAAGUUUGUUGUGUUUUUAAAACCUAUUUAUACUUUGGCCCGACUCAAGCGAACAUUUUAUUUUGUUUGAUUUUAUUUCCUGGCUCGUCUUUAUCACAAUCAGUGGAGUAACGUUGCCUGUUGGCGCCUCUGCUGAAAAAGCGCCCCUAGCCUGUUGGUGCCCCCUUCCCUUUUGGCGCCCCUCCCUAAAAUUGAACAGAUUAUAUUAUUUUAGAGGAUACGCCGGUAAAAUCUCUAAAAAGAGCAAAACGCGCAGUUUUGCUAGUACCGUAGUUGUCCCACAUUUAAACAACAAUUUGGCGCCCCCCCCCCUAAGAUUGCACAGCGGGGUCGGUUGGCCCUUCGUUAUGCCACUGAUCACAAUUGUUUUUAUUUAUUAUUAUUUUUAUUCUUAUCAAAUUAUGUUCAUAUGGUUAUUCAGUCUGAUAAUUUAAUUUGGAAAUUGUACUGAAUCUGUUUGUCAAAUUAAACAAGUACAGAUGCAGCAACACAUUUUAGUGUAUUGCUUAGACUUUAGACGGACUCAACUUAAACGUAUUUUGAAAAAGUCUACCGUUGUUGGAAUUCAUUUUUGGGGUGCUGAACUUUGAUAUUAAAUUAUUUUGAAACACUAGCAAAAGAUAGAAUGCAAAAUGUUUUAGCAAGCAACUAUUAAGUAAAACAAAAUUUAAGUAAAACAAAAUUUAAAUUUUAUUGCCAUUACAAUGAAUAAUGAUAUCAUAAUAAAUAUAAGUAGACAUCCGAUAAUAAACUUGUUACAUCCAGUACAACCCAAGAUGUCAGCCGACGCGACUUACAAAAAUAAAGAAAGCUAGCAUGUUAUGUUCAUUGUUCAUAGUUUUUCUAACGAGCAUGCUUAGCACUUAGGCUGUACUACGGAAAUAGCUUUAAUUCUACGUCAUAUUAAAAACUUUACAUCAUUUUUGAGAUAC
Long non-coding RNA from Bolinopsis microptera, 1347 nucleotides. RefSeq lists it as uncharacterized. Lineage: Eukaryota; Metazoa; Ctenophora; Tentaculata; Lobata; Bolinopsidae. The transcript has 4 exons. The record is from RefSeq and is a predicted model, not a curated record.